Molecule: ribosomal RNA, 316 nt
Filed under: uncultured Bacteroidales bacterium
Lineage: Bacteria; Pseudomonadati; Bacteroidota; Bacteroidia; Bacteroidales
Description: partial 16S ribosomal RNA
Source: RNAcentral
GGAGUUCGGUCCGUGUCUCAGUACCGAUGUGUGGGAUCUUCCUUUUAGAACCCAUAGGCAUCAUCGUCUUGGUGGGCCGUUGCCCCGCCAACUAACUAAUGCCACGCAUGCCCAUCCGCAACCUAUGAAUAUUUAAUCAUUAAGCGAUGCCGCAAAAUGAUACUAUCGGAGUUUAAUCGUCCUUUCGGUCGGCUAUCUCCGUGUUGCGGGCAGGUUGCAUACGCGUUACUCACCCGUCCGCCGCUCGCCACCAAAGUAUUGCUACCUCGUGUUGCCGCUCGACUUGCAUGUGUUAGGCCUGCCGCUAGCGUUUAUC